Molecule: long non-coding RNA, 708 nt
Organism: Daphnia carinata
Lineage: Eukaryota; Metazoa; Arthropoda; Branchiopoda; Diplostraca; Daphniidae
Exons: 4
Source: RefSeq, a predicted model, not a curated record
GUGUGUCAGCUUGACGUCCAUCUGCCAUCUUUUCUCCACUGGCCAACGAGGUUAAAAUAGCCAUUUUCAAAAUGGUAGAACUGCUGGCUGGCAAAUUAGUUGUUUCCAUGCUAUCUUAAGUGGGUAUUUACUGAGUGUUUACCAGCAGUUUUUGUCUCUUCUACAACUGGAAAAUUUACGACCAAAAAGGUUGUCCUUUACGAUAGGUCGUUGUGGCUCGAUGAGACAGGCCUAAAGUUUUUGUUUUGUGCCGACCUUGGAAACCGUAUAACAUCUAACAGCAGGUAGCAGCAGAUACCCUUCUCUGCCUUAACUGCUGUGUGGUUAUCCCUUCAAGAAAUUUCCAUUAGGAAAGAGCUUGCUGAGCCUUCACUUCUCUGGUCUUUGUUUCCCUAUUCGUUGGCAUGGAGAGAAACUGUCAAAACCUCAAAAGGAAGGAAGAAUAACAAACAAAGCAGCUCUCCAAGAAUUGUUUGUUUUGCUCAGUGAAUCGACAGGUCCUAGUUUCGAAUCAACAAAUAGUGCAGCUAUGCCUCGUGGAGCUGCAGGCAAAAGAAGACAAGGAAGAACAGAAAAGUUUUCUGGCUUGGCUGCUUGAUUUUCCAACCGUGUCUACUCCGUGAUGUAGUGGCUCUUCAAUAAAUUUCGAAUGAUAUGGAACACUAAAUUCUGGAAUAAAUCCGUUCGAGUUUCCCUCGAAACCUCCCC